Raphanus sativus (radish) is the source of this 885-nucleotide long non-coding RNA. RefSeq lists it as uncharacterized. The record is from RefSeq and is a predicted model, not a curated record. The transcript is spliced from 3 exons. Lineage: Eukaryota; Viridiplantae; Streptophyta; Magnoliopsida; Brassicales; Brassicaceae.
AGAAAAAGAAAGAUUUUACCUUUUGUCGGGUUUCAACAUCGACAGAUACACAAAACACACCUCGUCGUCUCCGGCAUCUCCAUCUCCGACUCUCUAUGUUCUCUCACGACCGGAUUUGUCUCCACCAGCUUCUUCUGCGUCUCUGUGUUAAACCCAAAUUAAUUUCGUCUCAGUCACAUCCGGCUCCGUCUUUAUCUCUGUGUUUCUGGGACAAACCCAAAUCGAUUUCGUCUCAGUCACGUCCGGCUUCAGUUGCAACUUACUCUAAUUUUUGCACAGCACAUUGCAGACUGCUCUAGAUUGUUCCCAGAUAUGACUCAUCACGCUUCUCAAUCUCUCUUUGGUAGAUGCAACACGAAACUGAGACUUCAGUCUCAGCAGGCCGAUGCUAAGCUUGAUUCUUAUAAGCAGGCAGGUAACCGUUUGUCUCCGGUCACAUUCUAUGCAAUCUUGGAGGGUUUUGAUGACACGGAGAAGAUUUAAGCGGACACUUAUGUUUGGGUCGGUAAAGAUGAUCGUAGCAUCUAUGCCAAUGGGACUUCAAGGUUUGCUUUAUAUAUUGCUAAAGGAUGAUAAAUGUUUUUUAAACCAUUUCAUAUCAGUGGAUCUCGAGAUUCUAUGUGUGUGUAGGAAUGGAGAUUGCUUAAUGCGGAAGUGUCUGCAUUAGAACAUAAGUUUCUCUCCAAUUGGAAGAUGCCUUGGGGGUCAAGGAAGGUGGUGUUUCCCAGAAAAGCAGAGUAAUAAUGAAAGUCUACAAAAAGUGUGUGGUUAGUAUAAUUUUACUACAGUGGGAGUCUAGCUCCAACAGUCUUGAAUUGUUAAAUUAAUUGUUCUGAUUUGGUAGGCUCAUUCUUUUUCUUUAAUAUUUGUGCAACUUUAAACUAG